GAGUUUGAUCCUGGCUCAGGACGAACGUUGGCGGUGCGCUUAAUGCAUGCAAGUCGAGGGAGAAGCAGUUGUUCCGUAAGGUUCGACUGUGGAAACCGGCGAACGGGUGCGUAACACGUGAGAAACCUGCCCCCCAGAUCGGGAUAGCCCAGGGAAACUUGGAUUAAUACCGGAUACUCUCUUUGGAUCGCAUGAUCCGUUGAGGAAACAGUCCGCUGCUGGGGGAUGGUCUCGCGGCCUAUCAGGUAGUUGGUGAGGUAACGGCUCACCAAGCCUAAGACGGGUAGCUGGUCUGAGAGGAUGGUCAGCCACACUGGAACUGAGACACGGUCCAGACUCCUACGGGAGGCAGCAGCAGGGAAUAUUGCACAAUGGGCGAAAGCCUGAUGCAGCGACACCGCGUGCGGGAUGAAGGCCUUAGGGUUGUAAACCGCUUUCAGGAGGGAAGAAAAUGACGGUACCUCCAGAAGAAGCUCCGGCCAACUACGUGCCAGCAGCCGCGGUAAUACGUAGGGAGCAAACGUUGUCCGGAUUUAUUGGGCGUAAAGGGCUCGUAGGCGGUUCAACAAGUCGGUCGUGAAAGCCCGGGGCUCAACCCCGGGACGCCGGUCGAAACUGUUGUGACUAGAGUUCGGUAGAGGUGAGUCCGUAAACGAUGAACACUAGGUGUAGCGGACUGAUUCACGUCUGCUGUGCCGCAGCUAACGCAUUAAGUGUUCCGCCUGGGGAGUACGGCCGCAAGGCUAAAACUCAAAGGAAUUGACGGGGCCCCGCACAAGCGGCGGAGCAUGCGGCUUAAUUCGAUGCAACCCGAAGAACCUUACCUGGGUUUGACAUGGUGGGUCUAGCUGUGGAAACACAGUGUGCUUACGCGCUCAUCACAGGUGGUGCAUGGCUGUCGUCAGCUCGUGUCGUGAGAUGUUGGGUUAAGUCCCGCAACGAGCGCAACCCUUGUCCUAUGUUGCCAGCACGUAAUGGUGGGGACUCAUGGGAGACUGCCGGGGACAACUCGGAGGAAGGCGAGGACGAUGUCAAGUCAUCAUGCCCCUUAUAUCCAGGGCUGCACGCAUGCUACAAUGGGCGGUACAGUGGGCCGCGAUCUCGCAAGAGUGAGCCAAUCCCUCAAAGCCGUCCCCAGUUCGGAUUGAAGUCUGCAACUCGACUUCAUGAAGCCGGAGUCGCUAGUAAUCGUGGAUCAGCAAAGCCACGGUGAAUACGUUCUCGGGGCUUGUACACACCGCCCGUCACAUCACGGAAGUCGGUAACGCCCGAAGUCAGCGGCCUAACCCUUUUGGGAAGGGACUGCCUAAGGUGGGAUUGGUGACUGGGAUGAAGUCGUAACAAGGUAGCCGUACGGGAACGUGCGGCUGGAUCACCUCCUUUCU
This 1385-nucleotide ribosomal RNA is filed under the name uncultured organism. RNAcentral's name for it is "partial 16S ribosomal RNA". It matches the Rfam family "Bacterial small subunit ribosomal RNA". The record is from RNAcentral.